Long non-coding RNA from Passer domesticus (house sparrow), 357 nucleotides. RefSeq lists it as uncharacterized. The record is from RefSeq and is a predicted model, not a curated record. NCBI's taxonomy places the organism in Eukaryota, Metazoa, Chordata, Aves, Passeriformes, Passeridae. The transcript has 3 exons.
AUUUUUUCUUUCUAGACAUUUAUAAAGCAUUUCUUUUCUUUGUAGGUCUUACAAAUCUCUAAUGUAAGGUGCUUAAUUUAAGAACCAAGUAUUAAAAUGGAAUGUUCCACAGAGACUUAUAUAAUACAACAACCUCAGAGACAAAAGACUUUUCUGCCUGGGAUUAAGCACCUCCAGUUCCUGGGAGUGCAGAUGCUCACCAAGCACAGCUGGAACCAGACCUUGGCAGAAAGAAGUAUUUCAGGCAAGCCGAAAAUUUUACAGUUAAUACAGUGUGACGGAUCUUGACCAACUUUGUGGGCUCAGUGAUAAUACAAAGGUUUUCUUUUCACAUUGUGGUGGCCUCUUUUCUUUAAG